Molecule: ribosomal RNA, 279 nt
Filed under: uncultured bacterium
Lineage: Bacteria
Description: partial 16S ribosomal RNA
Rfam family: Bacterial small subunit ribosomal RNA
Source: RNAcentral
GUAUGCCUACGGGGCGCAGCAGCCGCGGUAAUACGUAGGUGGCAAGCGUUAUCCGGAUUUACUGGGUGUAAAGGGCGAGUAGGCGGGAUUGCAAGUCAGAUGUGAAAACUAUGGGCUCAACCGAUAGAGUGCAUUUGAAACCGCAGUUCUUGAGUGAUGGAGAGGCAGGCGGAAUUCCCGGUGUAGCGGUGGAAUGCGUAGAUAUCGGGAGGAACACCAGUGGCGAAGGCGGCCUGCUGGACAUUAACUGACGCUGAGGCGCGAAAGCGUGGGGAGCAA